GAAAGACCUGAAGGUGCCCUUCGGGGAGCCCGGUGACAGGUGCUUGCAUGGCCUGUCGUCAGCUCGUGUCGUGAGAUGUUGGGUUAAGUCCCGCAACGAGCGCAACCCCUUUCUUUAGUACCAUCAUUUAGUUGGGGACUCUAAAGAUACUGCCCCGGUUAACGGGGAGGAAGGUGGGGAUGACGUCAAGUCCUCAUGGCCUUUAUGCCUAGGGCUACACACGUGCUACAAUGGGCUGUACAAAGGGUAGCCAGCCUGCGAGGGUAAGCCAAUCCCAGAAAGCAGCUCGUAGUUCGGAUGGCAACUCGACUUCCAUGAAGCUGGAAUCGCUAGUAAUCG
Molecule: ribosomal RNA, 339 nt
Filed under: uncultured bacterium
Lineage: Bacteria
Description: bacterial SSU rRNA
Rfam family: Bacterial small subunit ribosomal RNA
Source: RNAcentral